This 449-nucleotide ribosomal RNA is filed under the name uncultured bacterium. RNAcentral's name for it is "partial 16S ribosomal RNA". It matches the Rfam family "Bacterial small subunit ribosomal RNA", at positions 29 to 523 of the family's 1533-position model. The record is from RNAcentral.
AAUGAACGCUGGCGGCACGCCUAACACAUGCAAGUCGAACGAAGGCUUCGGCCUUAGUGGCGCACGGGUGCGUAACGCGUGGGAAUCUGCCCUCAGGUUCGGAAUAACAGCGAGAAAUUGCUGCUAAUACUGGAUGAUAUCGCGAGAUCAAAGAUUUAUCGCCUGAGGAUGAGCCCGCGUAGGAUUAGCUAGUUGGUGUGGUAAAGGCGCACCAAGGCGACGAUCCUUAGCUGGUCUGAGAGGAUGAUCAGCCACACUGGGACUGAGACACGGCCCAGACUCCUACGGGAGGCAGCAGUGGGGAAUAUUGGACAAUGGGCGAAAGCCUGAUCCAGCAAUGCCGCGUGAGUGAUGAAGGCCUUAGGGUUGUAAAGCUCUUUUACCCGGGAUGAUAAUGACAGUACCGGGAGAAUAAGCUCCGGCUAACUCCGUGCCAGCCGCCGCAGUAA